RNAcentral lists this ribosomal RNA (517 nucleotides) under uncultured Planctomycetota bacterium. RNAcentral describes it as "bacterial SSU rRNA". It matches the Rfam family "Bacterial small subunit ribosomal RNA", at positions 117 to 643 of the family's 1533-position model. The record is from RNAcentral. Lineage: Bacteria; Pseudomonadati; Planctomycetota.
GUGGGUUAUCUGCCUCUUGGACCGGGAUAGCUGCGGGAAACUGCAGGUAAUACCGGAUAACGUCUUUGGACCAAAGGUGUGAUUCCGCCGAGAGAUGAGCCCGCGUCCUAUUAGCUAGUUGGUGAGGUAAUGGCUCACCAAGGCUUAGAUGGGUAGGGGGUGUGAGAGCACGACCCCCCUCACUGGGACUGAGACACUGCCCAGACACCUACGGGUGGCUGCAGUCGAGGAUCUUCGGCAAUGGGCGAAAGCCUGACCGAGCGACGCCGCGUGUGGGAUGAAGGCCUUCGGGUUGUAAACCACUGUCGUAGAGGAGGAAAUUCUGGGGGGUUCUCCCCUCGGUUUGACCUAUUCUAGGAGGAAGUCAGGGCUAAGUUCGUGCCAGCAGCCGCGGUAAGACGAACCUGACAAACGUUAUUCGGAAUUACUGGGCUUAAAGGGUGCGUAGGCGGCGCGACAAGUUGGGUGUGAAAUCCCUCGGCUCAACCGAGGAACUGCGCUCAAUACUGUCGUGCUC